This 1333-nucleotide long non-coding RNA is filed under the name Bos indicus x Bos taurus (hybrid cattle). Its description in RNAcentral is "lncRNA (ENSBIXG00000029736.1)". Lineage: Eukaryota; Metazoa; Chordata; Mammalia; Artiodactyla; Bovidae. The record is from RNAcentral.
AUGUUUUCCGGAAAGUCAAAUUGGGAAGGCUCUUUAAUGGUUGUUGCGAAAGCACUUCUUUUCUCAAACCAGAGCACUUGGACUCCUUUGCACCCUCCCCGCCCCCAUGGAUGUUCCCAAGUGGCGCUUUGUGAUGUCAGCAGUGUCAGGGCUACCAUUGGCUGGAGAAAUUUCUUGCUGACCAAUCAAACGGACAGUUGUGGCUCACCAUUGUCCUGCGACGGUAUAUAUAGAGACGCCAGGCGCCUUGGUGGAGGCCACCGUUGCUACAACAUGGCAGACCUAAUUAAGGAAGUGAAGGAGGAGGAAACAGAAAUCGAGAUAGACGCUUUCAAUCUGCAGCAACAAGCUUCAAGUGCUAACGAAGGGAAGAGAAAGAACACUGAUCAGUCCGAUGGCUUGGACAGUCAGAAGAUACGAAAGCCCACGAGGAAGGUAAAAUCAACCCUUCAGCGGAACCCGGGCCGGAAAAAGAAAGGGAAGAGUCGACGAAUCCAGUCUUCUACCACCACCCGCAGAAUAAAAAGAAGAAUGAAAGUGGGCCAAUGGCGGAUGAAGAAACCCCAGAGGAUUCUUCCAACACUUCUGACGAUUCUGCAAGUAAGCCCCUGUGCCCACCUGGAGCCCAAGAUGCUGAGCCAUCUGCUGUAACUCCAGGAAAAGCAAAGGCAGAAUAGUCGUUUGUGCAGACAUCAAACAUACACGAUGGUCCCCUCCGGACAGAUCAAAGUAUUCAGAUGUUGACGAUUAAAGUAUCAACAAGCAGUAAAAAGAUGUGUGUGCGUGUUUUUUUUUGAUGAUGGAGAGGGGAGAAGGGAAGGGUCCGGUGUGUGAGGAGGGAGGGAGGAGGCGUCCUUUCAGUCUAGGGCCCAGACCAGCCAGUCCAUACUUACCCAGACACUGGGACUGAGGACUGGGUGAAGACUGAGAACUGCAGACUGAAGAUUGCUUCCUGAACUCUUCAUCCCACUGGUGAGAAGGAAAAGGACUUGGUGUUUCUGUGUGUUUCAGAGGUCCCAUCUAGGGAGAGGGGUGAUGUAGGGGUGGUGGCUCUGUGCAAUAAUCAGAUCCCACUUUUCAGGUGUGACAAUUGAGUUUUUGCCCCUCAUCAAUUUCUGUUCCUCUUCUGGCCCACAUUUGGGCAAGCUACUACAAACAACCAGGGAGUAAAGGAACGUGACAUAGAAACAGAUAUGCCUAACCUUAACCACUGGAAUUACUGCCUUGCCUACAUUUCCCAGUGCCAAAACCUCCAUUACCCCAAAUAGCCUCUAGUGCACGUGGAGAAUCUAACUCAAUGAGUAAUAAAAUUCAGCCCUUGCCCCUAUACUCA